RNAcentral lists this ribosomal RNA (253 nucleotides) under uncultured bacterium. RNAcentral describes it as "partial 16S ribosomal RNA". It matches the Rfam family "Bacterial small subunit ribosomal RNA", at positions 524 to 776 of the family's 1533-position model. The record is from RNAcentral.
UACAGAGGUCUCAAGCGUUGUUCGGAAUCACUGGGCGUAAAGGGUGCGUAGGCUGCACGGUAAGUCAGAGGUGAAAUCCCGGGGCUCAACCCCGGAAUUGCCUCCGAUACUGCCGUGCUUGAGGACUGGAGAGGAGUCUGGAAUUCACAGUGGAGCAGUGAAAUGCGUAGAUAUUGUGAGGAACACUAGUGGCGAAGGCGAGACUCUGGACAGUUCCUGACGCUGAGGCACGAAGGCCAGGGGAGCAAACGGG